AGUUUGAUCCUGGCUCAGAACGAACGCUGGCGGCAUGCCUAACACAUGCAAGUCGAACGAAGGCUUCGGCCUUAGUGGCGCACGGGUGCGUAACGCGUGGGAAUCUGCCCUUGGGUUCGGAAUAACGUCGGGAAACUGACGCUAAUACCGGAUGAUGACGUAAGUCCAAAGAUUUAUCGCCCAGGGAUGAGCCCGCGUAGGAUUAGCUAGUUGGUGAGGUAAAGGCUCACCAAGGCGACGAUCCUUAGCUGGUCUGAGAGGAUGAUCAGCCACACUGGGACUGAGACACGGCCCAGACUCCUACGGGAGGCAGCAGUAGGGAAUAUUGGACAAUGGGCGAAAGCCUGAUCCAGCAAUGCCGCGUGAGUGAUGAAGGCCUUAGGGUUGUAAAGCUCUUUUACCCGGGAUGAUAAUGACAGUACCGGGAGAAUAAGCCCCGGCUAACUCCGUGCCAGCAGCCGCGGUAA
RNAcentral lists this ribosomal RNA (467 nucleotides) under uncultured bacterium. RNAcentral describes it as "bacterial SSU rRNA". It matches the Rfam family "Bacterial small subunit ribosomal RNA", at positions 10 to 523 of the family's 1533-position model. The record is from RNAcentral.